UACGGAGGGGACUAGCGUUGUUCGGAAUUACUGGGCGUAAAGCGCACGUAGGCGGAUUUGUAAGUCAGGGGUGAAAUCCCGGGGCUCAACCUCGGAACUGCCUUUGAUACUGGAAAUCUCGAGUCCGGAAGAGGUGAGUGGAAUUCCUAGUGUAGAGGUGAAAUUCGUAGAUAUUAGGAAGAACACCAGUGGCGAAGGCGGCUCACUGGACCAUUACUGACGCUGAGGCUCGAAAGCUAGGGGAGCAAACAGG
RNAcentral lists this ribosomal RNA (253 nucleotides) under uncultured bacterium. RNAcentral describes it as "partial 16S ribosomal RNA". It matches the Rfam family "Bacterial small subunit ribosomal RNA", at positions 524 to 776 of the family's 1533-position model. The record is from RNAcentral.